This 164-nucleotide ribosomal RNA is filed under the name uncultured bacterium. RNAcentral's name for it is "partial 16S ribosomal RNA". It matches the Rfam family "Bacterial small subunit ribosomal RNA", at positions 1329 to 1500 of the family's 1533-position model. The record is from RNAcentral.
GAUUCGCUAGUAAUCGCGCAUCAGCCACGGCGCGGUGAAUACGUUCCCGGGCCUUGUACACACCGCCCGUCAAGCCAUGGAAGCCGGGAGUGCCUGAAGUGCGUGACCGCAAGGAGCGUCCUAAGGCAAUACCGGUGACUGGGGCUAAGUCGUAACAAGGUAUC